Molecule: ribosomal RNA, 253 nt
Filed under: uncultured bacterium
Lineage: Bacteria
Description: partial 16S ribosomal RNA
Rfam family: Bacterial small subunit ribosomal RNA
Source: RNAcentral
UACGUAGGGCGCAAGCGUUGUCCGGAAUUAUUGGGCGUAAAGAGCUCGUAGGCGGCUUGUCACGUCGGGUGUGAAAGCCCGGGGCUUAACCCCGGGUCUGCAUUCGAUACGGGCUAGCUAGAGUGUGGUAGGGGAGAUCGGAAUUCCUGGUGUAGCGGUGAAAUGCGCAGAUAUCAGGAGGAACACCGGUGGCGAAGGCGGAUCUCUGGGCCAUUACUGACGCUGAGGAGCGAAAGCGUGGGGAGCGUACAGG